This 329-nucleotide unclassified non-coding RNA is filed under the name soil metagenome. Its description in RNAcentral is "partial contains 5.8S ribosomal RNA, internal transcribed spacer 2, and large subunit ribosomal RNA". The stretch from base 1 to 120 matches the Rfam family "5.8S ribosomal RNA", at positions 35 to 154 of the family's 154-position model. The record is from RNAcentral.
GAUGAAGAACGCAGCGAAAUGCGAUAAGUAGUGUGAAUUGCAGAAUUCAGUGAAUCAUCGAAUCUUUGAACGCACAUUGCGCCCCUUGGUAUCCCGAGGGGCAUGCCUGUUCGAGCGUCAUUUCACCACUCAAGCCUGGUUUGGUGUUGGGCGACGUCCCCUUUGGGGACGCGCCUCGAAACGCUCGGCGGCGUGGCACCGGCUUUAAGCGUAGCAGAAUCUUUCGCUUUGGAAGUCGGGGCCCCGUCUGCCGGAAGACCUACUCGCAAGGUUGACCUCGGAUCAGGCAGGGAUACCCGCUGAACUUAAGCAUAUCAAUAAGCGGAGGA